This 831-nucleotide long non-coding RNA is filed under the name Dasypus novemcinctus (nine-banded armadillo). RNAcentral describes it as "lncRNA (ENSDNOG00000051435.1)". The record is from RNAcentral. Lineage: Eukaryota; Metazoa; Chordata; Mammalia; Cingulata; Dasypodidae.
GUUUUUCAUAUGUCAUAAAACGAGUAUGUCUUUCCUUUAUAAGAGAUAAAACUACUUAAAGUGAUGAGAUUGAUUUAACUUGAGAUAUACUAAUUCAGCUUUGUUCAACUCAUGCUGUACCUGUCAAUUUAUAGUUUAUCUUUAGGAAAACACAGUACUUACCAGCUAAUGAACUAAACACAGAGAUCCAGAUAUUGUGUGGUUUGAUUCCAUCUUUGUUUCAGAGUGAAGUUUACUGACUUUAUAAUAAAAGUUUGCCACUGUCUUCUUUUUAUAUUCCUCCACUUUUGGCUUUAGCCCACAUUCUAAAUGUGUAAGCCUCAUUUUUCUUCCCCAUAUCAAGUAAAAUAGCUCACAUCGUCUCUCUUACUAGAAACACUUAAUAUUUUGAUAUACCGAUUCACUCUAUUGUAUUGAUUAAUACUACUCUCCUCAUUUUAAGGUUAUUCUGGUCCAGGUUAACCCAGGGGAAGCCUUUACAAUAAGAAGGGAAGAUGGACAGUUUCAGUGCAUUACAGAGUGAUGAAAUCAAGAAUCAAGACUGCUGUCAGAUGUACAACCCCAGUAACAUGGAUCAUGGAGAAACUACAUCAACAUUAGGAUGAUAUCUUUUGCGACAUGGUUUCAACAGUCACAUUUCAGGAGAAACGAAGAUCUUAAUAUUUUUCAUCCAUUCAUUCAGUAUUCACUAAGGGACAAAAAAUAAAUAAACACUAUUUCCUCAAACUCAUUUGACAGAUUUUCUUAUAUAUCUUUAUGCAAAGGUGAAAUAAGAUGUGAUCACUGGACCAUUGGUAGUGUAUGCCUUUUUCUCUCGUUGUAUUAUCCAGG